AGCUGGUUCCAUAGGAGAGGAGCUUGGUAACUGAAGGCUCUGGCUCCUGUUCUACUUUUAGAGACUAUAGGAACCACAAGUAGCCCAGCAUUCAGAGAACGUAGUGUUCUAGUGGGGUAAUAGGGUACUAUGAGCUCUUUAAGAUAUGAAGGGGCCUGACCAUGAAGAGCUUUAUAGGUGAGGAGGAGGAUUUUAAAUUCAAUUCUACAUUUUACAGGGAGCCAAUGCAGAGAAGCUAGUACAGGAGAGAUGUGAUCUCUUUUUCUAGUUCCUGUCAGUACUCGUGCUGCAGCGUUCUGAAUUAAUUGGAGCGUUUUAAUGGACUUAUUGGGGCAACCUGAUAAUAAAGAGUUGCAGUAAUCCAGCCUUGAAGUAACAAAUGCAUGGAUUAGUUUUUCUGCAUCUGUCUGUGACAGGAUGUGUCUAAUUUUUGUAAUAUUACGUAAAUGAAAGAGGGCAGUCCUAGAGGUCUGCUUCAUGUGGGAGUUAAAAGACAAAUCCUGAUCAAAGAUAACUCCAAGAUUCCUGACA
Dicentrarchus labrax (European seabass) is the source of this 531-nucleotide long non-coding RNA. RefSeq lists it as uncharacterized. The transcript has 3 exons. The record is from RefSeq and is a predicted model, not a curated record. NCBI's taxonomy places the organism in Eukaryota, Metazoa, Chordata, Actinopteri, Moronidae.